GAGGGUCUAGCUCAGUGGUAGAGCACGUGCUCAGCGUGCAUGACAUCCUGGGUUCAAUCCCCAGCAGCUCCA
This 72-nucleotide transfer RNA is filed under the name Camelus bactrianus (Bactrian camel). It matches the Rfam family "tRNA". Rfam says of the family: Transfer RNA (tRNA) molecules are approximately 80 nucleotides in length. Their secondary structure includes four short double-helical elements and three loops (D, anti-codon, and T loops). Further hydrogen bonds mediate the characteristic L-shaped molecular structure. tRNAs have two regions of fundamental functional importance: the anti-codon, which is responsible for specific mRNA codon recognition, and the 3' end, to which the tRNAs corresponding amino acid is attached (by aminoacyl-tRNA synthetases). tRNAs cope with the degeneracy of the genetic code in two manners: having more than one tRNA (with a specific anti-codon) for a particular amino acid; and 'wobble' base-pairing, i.e. permitting non-standard base-pairing at the 3rd anti-codon position. RNAcentral also lists the same sequence under 3 other names. The record is from Rfam by way of RNAcentral. Lineage: Eukaryota; Metazoa; Chordata; Mammalia; Artiodactyla; Camelidae.